UCCAAAGCCGUCUGUCAAGAUACUUGAUCAAACAAAGGAUGGGAUGCAGCUGCAGUGUGAAGUUAGAGGAGCUUUUCCAAAACCUGAAUUACACUGGCAGGACGGAGCUGGAAACAAACUUCCUGCUGAAGAACCACAGGAGUCAGAAAGAGGAGGACACUAUGACAUCAUCCUCCAAACUACUGUGACCAAGACCGACCGCUAUCGCUGUGUUGCUACACAGAAGGAAAUCAACCAUCACACUGAUGCUGAGAUAUACGUGCCUGUCCCUGGUUCUGCCAGUGGACUGGUUGCUGGUUCAGUUCUCAAACUCUUUUUGUUGAUGGUGUUCUUGGUGUUACUGUUCUAGCUGUGCUCGUAAAAAAGGGUUUUAUGAAAGGCAGACAUAUUGUGAUUCAACAAACCAGUCAACAUAAUCAACUUGAGACUUUCCUGCUCAACAACGUGCCUUGAACUUUGUUGCUGAAGUGUGUGUGCUCUUGUAUCUUUUGAUGUUUGUGAGGAUCAGUUUGAGUUUUAGACAAAACAGUGAAAACAUUUU
Molecule: long non-coding RNA, 541 nt
Organism: Scomber japonicus (chub mackerel)
Lineage: Eukaryota; Metazoa; Chordata; Actinopteri; Scombriformes; Scombridae
Exons: 3
Source: RefSeq, a predicted model, not a curated record